AGAUAACAUUGCAGCGAUCGCAAGAGGGAACCAUCACAAGGAAGAUACAUUUGCCAAGGAGUUUGGAAUAAAUGUUUCAGACAUGAUGGCAUCAAUCCACGGUGCUCGAGUUUUGCCACCCCCUGUGCUGAAGUACCAUGAAGAAGGUCGGGAAGCAAGAAUUCAACCUCGCGUUGGGCAGUGGAAUAUGAUAAAUGCGGUAAGCUUAACCCUAACGUUAAAUCUAUUAAUUAUAAUUGUUCGGUUGUAUAUCUCGACUUGCUAGUUUCUUUGAUGCAUUUAUGAGAGUCUG
This is a long non-coding RNA of Papaver somniferum (opium poppy), 292 nucleotides long. RefSeq lists it as uncharacterized. The record is from RefSeq and is a predicted model, not a curated record. The transcript is spliced from 3 exons. NCBI's taxonomy places the organism in Eukaryota, Viridiplantae, Streptophyta, Magnoliopsida, Ranunculales, Papaveraceae.